AUACGGAGGAUCCGAGCGUUAUCCGGAUUUAUUGGGUUUAAAGGGUGCGCAGGCGGCCAUUUAAGUCAGCGGUUAAAUCGUGGGGCUCAACCCCAUUCUGCCGUUGAUACUGGGUGGCUUGUUUGCGGUCGGGGUUGGCGGAAUUCGUUGUGUAGCGGUGAAAUGCAUAGAUAUGACGAAGAACACCGAUUGCGUAGGCAGCUGACCAGACCGCAAAUGACGCUCAUGCACGAAAGUGCGGGGAUCGAACAGGAUUAGAUACCCUGGUAGUCCGCACAGUAAACGAUGAAUACUUGUUUUCGGCGAUAUAAUGUCGGAGGCAAAGCGAAAGCGAUAAGUAUUCCACCUGGGGAGUACGCCGGCAACGGUGAAACUCAAAUGAAUUGACGGGG
This 392-nucleotide ribosomal RNA is filed under the name uncultured bacterium. RNAcentral's name for it is "partial 16S ribosomal RNA". It matches the Rfam family "Bacterial small subunit ribosomal RNA", at positions 523 to 918 of the family's 1533-position model. The record is from RNAcentral.